This 491-nucleotide ribosomal RNA is filed under the name uncultured Flavobacteriaceae bacterium. RNAcentral's name for it is "partial 16S ribosomal RNA". The record is from RNAcentral. Lineage: Bacteria; Pseudomonadati; Bacteroidota; Flavobacteriia; Flavobacteriales; Flavobacteriaceae.
CACGGAGUUAGCCGGUCCUUAUUCUUACGAUACCGUCAAGCUGCUUCACGAAGCAGUGUUUACUUCUCGUAUAAAAGCAGUUUACACACCAUAGAUGCUUCAUCCUGCACGCGGCAUGGCUGGUUCAGGCUUGCCGCCCAUUGACCAACUAUUCCUCACUGCUGCCUCCCGUAGGAGUCUGGUCCGUGUCUCAGUAACCAGUGUGGGGGAUCUCCCUCUCAGGGACCCCUACCAUCGUUGCCAUGGUAAGCCCGUUAACCUUACCAUCUAGCUAAUGGGACGCAUGCCCUAUCUUUCACCGUUGGAACUUUAAUAUAAUGAUGAUGCCAUCUCUAUAUACUAUAAGGUAUUAAUCCAAAUUUCUCUGGGCUAUCCCUUUGUGAAAAGGUAGGUUGCAUACGCGUUACGCACCCGUGCGCCGGUCUCAAAAAUAGCAAAGCUAUUUCUAACCCCCUGACCUUGCAUGUGUUAAGCCUGCCGCUAAGCGUUCA